RNAcentral lists this unclassified non-coding RNA (250 nucleotides) under plant metagenome. Its description in RNAcentral is "partial contains small subunit ribosomal RNA, internal transcribed spacer 1, and 5.8S ribosomal RNA". The record is from RNAcentral.
GUAGGUGAACCUGCGGAAGGAUCAUUACCUAGAGUUUGCGGGCUUUGCCUGCUAUCUCUUACCCAUGUCUUUUGAGUACUUACGUUUCCUCGGUGGGUUCGCCCGCCGAUUGGACAAUUUAAACCCUUUGCAGUUGCAAUCAGCGUCUGAAAAAAAUUAAUAAUUACAACUUUCAACAACGGAUCUCUUGGUUCUGGCAUCGAUGAAGAACGCAGCAUCUGACUGACUGGUAGACUUCGUAUCUCGUAUG